GAUGAACGCUGGCGGCGUGCCUAACACAUGCAAGUCGAGCGAACAGAUGGGGAGCUUGCUCCCCUGACGUUAGCGGCGGACGGGUGAGUAACACGUGGAUAACCUACCUAUAAGACUUGGAUAAUUACGGGAAACCGGAUCUAAUACCGGAUAAUAUAUUGAACCGCAUGGUUCAAUAGUGAAAGACGGUUUUGCUGUCUCUUAUAGAUGGAUCCGCGCCGCAUUAGCUAGUUGGUAAGGUAACGGCUUACCAAGGCGACGAUGCGUAGCCGACCUGAGAGGGUGAUCGGCCACACUGGAACUGAGACACGGUCCAGACUCCUACGGGAGGCAGCAGUAGGGAAUCUUGCGCAAUGGGCGAAAGCCUGACGGAGCAACGCCGCGUGAGUGAUGAAGGUCUUCGGGUCGUAAAACUCUGUUGUUGGGGAAGAACAAAUGUGUAAGAAACCAUGGACGUUUUGACGGUACCUAAUCAAAAAGCCACGGCUAACUACGUG
This 497-nucleotide ribosomal RNA is filed under the name uncultured bacterium. RNAcentral's name for it is "partial 16S ribosomal RNA". It matches the Rfam family "Bacterial small subunit ribosomal RNA", at positions 28 to 507 of the family's 1533-position model. The record is from RNAcentral.